CAGGAAGCCAGGGUUUCAGCCGACAAGGGAGUGGGGUGAGGUGAGGUGGCCUCUCCUGCUCUAAUUCCCAGUCUCAGUGUAUUUAAGUAAGUGUCUGCAAAGACAACAAUGCAUAAAUUAUGAGUACUCGAAGGCAGUUCCUGCGAAAGGAAGAGAAUUUAUAAAUGUUGCAGCACUGUUUCCUUCUGAGGGGUACCCAGUGAGUCAAAGGUCACUGUGAUGUUUACCUCUCUCUGUCUCCUGCUGGGGGAAGGAAGGGGUGACUCCUGCGUCAUUUCUCAGCAUCUCAGCAACACCAGAGGGGAUAGGAGGUCCUUCACUCUUCUCCAGUCAAGCCAGGGAAAAAAAAAAGGAUGCUUUCAGACAGUGAUUGUAUCAUUUCGGAAUUGCAUUUUGCUGGCCUUCACAGAGACCUGACAGUAGCAACUUAAGCAGAUUGGGUUAUUUCCCUCUGUCGUAGGAGGAUGAUGAACAUUAACACAUGCACAGCAGCUCUGUGAAUCAUCAAGAACCCAGGAUCCUUGUGACUUUGUGCUCUUUCACAUUUGGCAUGUGGCUUUCAUCCUCAACCUUGCCUCAUGGUGUAAGGUGGAAGGAGCUUCAAUAGCCAUUGUGUCUCCAUUCCAGGGAAGAGGCGGGAAGAAGAGGGUCUGGGUAUCUUUCAAGAAACCUUUCCAGAAGUUAACACCCAGAACUGACCACAUUCCAGGAGACUCCUGGUCUCACCUGUCUCCAUGGUCCUCAGCUACUGGAUCAACUCUGCAUAGACUCGUCACAGUGUGACCUUGCCGCCUGGCUACGCUCUGUAGCUUUCCUUGCAAGGCUUCCCCAUCCCCACCUAGGAGUGGGGUUCCAUCUGACCUGGGGCAAAGGAAUAGGCCUCAUGAAAUUGAGCGAUCAGUUGUGUUUGAUGCCCAGCAAUGCCCAGCUUCAUAACACAUCUUCAUAUCGGCUCUCUCUCCUUCCCUACAUCAUGUCCCUUACCGCUCCUUCCCUAGGAGUGCAUUUCCUAAAAAAUUAGCGACACAUCCACUUUGUCUCAGGCUCUGCUUUCUUGGGAACCCAGACUAUAAUAGGGCAAAACAGGGUGACAUGAACGUAUUAGCUAGGGCACCCCAGCAAUGUAGUCUUUUAGCUGGGAAUCUUGACUUGUCAAAUCAGAUCAGAUUUCUAUUGCUUAGGAAGUAUGAGAGAAGUCUCUGCCACAGUGACCUACAGUUAAAGGAAAUUAAGCAGAGGCAUGGUAGAGAGUGACUAGGGGCAGGGUCACUUCUAGGUGGUGGGUUUUGUUUUUUUUUAAGAUUUUAUUUAUUUAUUCAUGAGAGACACACAGAAUGAGGCAGAGACACAGGCAGAGGGAGAAGCAGGCUCCUUGUGCAGAGCCCGAUGUGAGACUUGAUCCCAAGACCCCAGGAUCACACCCCAAGCCAAAGACAGACACUCAACCAAUGAGCCACCUAGGCAUCCCCACUUCUAGGGUUCUGUGUGCACCUAAAUUGGUCUCUUCAACAGUAGGCAAACAGCACUGAAAAAUUCCAUUAGCUACAUUUAGCUAAACUAGAAUGCCUGGUGCCUUUGGGGCUGUGCCAUGGGAACAAAAUCCAAAUGAGGCAAAUUGCACCAGCCGAGAUCUUUUUCUUUGAGGCUAAUAGAGCCUGGUUGUCUAGAGGUAGCUUGCAGCUACAGUACCAGUUUUGCUUGAAUUAGACAAGGAGGUCUUAGGAGAUUUGGGCCAAUAUUAUUAGGACGUUACCCUAGAGGCUACCUUCAAAGGUGUAUUAUUUUUUAUCAGGACUGUGAAAGGCAGGAGAUAGUGGGUGCUGGCAGAAGUAAAGUAAGGUGGGAGUCUGGAUGAAAGUGGAAGUCAAGGUUUAGUGUGAUGCAAAACUGAAAAAGAUGCUACUCUCAGGGGGCAGGGCUGUCAGCACCAAGAAAGUAGCUGAGUAAGAAGAAAGCAAAAUAAAGUGGAGUAACAGAAUGGGGUUAUCCAGAGGCCUUUAGAAGUGGAAGAUGAGGGGGAGGCAUAGGGAGUUGGACCUGUGUGGAAGUUUUCCUUGGUUGUGCCUUAGAGAGCCUGAGGGCACUCCCCCAGUUAGAAUGGCUUGAUUCUUUUGGAUUCAGACAUCUCCCCCCAACCCCCAAUGUUGAAUAUUACUUUUUUAAAAGAUUUUAUUUUUAAGUAAUCUCUACACCCAAUGUGGGGCUUGAACUAACAACCCCAAGAUAAAGAAUAGUGUGCUCUUCCUACUGAGCCAGCCAGGAGACCCUGGAUAUUACUUUUAAAAUAAAAUUUAAAAAAAUCUCUGGGAUAUCUAACAUCUGAUAUUACUCAUCAGUUCACUCACUCAAACAGUGAUUAGUUGAUAAUUGUUGAGAGCAAUAGGACAGUGGACUAGGGUGUGUGGAGAUGGGCAUGUGGAAAGAGGACCCCAAAACUUGAAGUGCAGAGAAGGAAGAAAAUUACUAGCAAAAAGCUGCCUUGGCUCACAGUGUUGGAUUCCUUUCCCUAAGCAGUUUGGCAAAACUCCAGAAUGUUAGAGAGACCAGGAAAAGUACCAACUGGGUCAGUUAUACUACAAACCAUUAGUCCAGAAUCCUGUGCAGCCCAAGUGGGUUCAACAAAACAAAGCCAGGCCAGACUGUCUGAAGCAUAUUUUUAUUAGGUGCUUCUCAAAAUACAGAAAUAAAGGACAGAAAC
Molecule: long non-coding RNA, 2698 nt
Filed under: Canis lupus familiaris (dog)
Lineage: Eukaryota; Metazoa; Chordata; Mammalia; Carnivora; Canidae
Description: lncRNA (ENSCAFG00845014857.1)
Source: RNAcentral